RNAcentral lists this long non-coding RNA (1307 nucleotides) under Fragaria vesca (wild strawberry). Its description in RNAcentral is "long non-coding RNA (FVES_LNC002210)". Lineage: Eukaryota; Viridiplantae; Streptophyta; Magnoliopsida; Rosales; Rosaceae. The record is from RNAcentral.
GUCUUCAACGCCGCCGUUGCCGACUACUAUUAUGCCUUCCUCUGCGCCGGUGAGCUCUUCUUCGCCGCCUGAUUACCUGAAUCGGGUCGUCUCCGAUGAUGAGCGAUCCGAUCACGGUGGAUAUCGGAAACCGAUUCCUCCUCAGCCUCAGCAGCAGCAGAGUCUGCCUCCUCAGUCUCAGCCCAAAUCUACCGGACUUUUUGAUUUGCCGUCGCCAGAUUCAGUGUCAAGGUAUGCUUUACUUUUCACUUAACAAACUAAUCUGUUGAAUCGUGCUCUAUUUUUGGUUGUUCAUUUGUGUUUCAAUAUAGGAUUUUACUUCAUAGACAAGUUUGCAAGUUUGCAUGUUUACUUCAUAGACUGUUAUUGUUGAUCGGAUUCAUUACCACUGAGGUGUUGUUGAUUGUGGCAUUUUUUUUUUUUUGCUUUGGUGGAUACGAAUUUGCAGUGAUCAUAGUUUAUCAAAUGUUGCCGUGUCACGCCCAAAACCUGUAGUUUAUCAAGAACCAGUUGCUCAGAUACCCUCUGGAACCCCCACUAGGUUUCCUGCAAACCUUGUUGAUUCUAAAGUUAAUGUCUCUGAUCCCAACACUCGGGUUCAGAUGCAACAACAGGUGCAGGAUUCCGGGUAUGUAUUACAAAACCAGUAUGAUCAACAGCUACAACAGCAGCAACUACUACAACAACAACUACAACAGCAGCAGCAAUUUAUACACCCCGGUGCACAGUACAUGCAUCAUCACCCUGCUGGAUCUGUGCCAAUUCAGGCAUACUACCCUGUAUAUCCUUCUCAGCAGCAGCACCACCAGCAGCAACAGCAGCAACAACAGCAGCAACACCACCACCAUCAGCUUGAUCAGCAGCAGCAAUACCAGGUUUAUUACAUGCCCGCAAGACAGGCCCCACCCUACAGCAACUUGCCCCUGCAGCAAUCGCUGCAGUCCAACAUGAGUGAAGCUGCUGGCGCUGCUACUAUUGCUUCUAGCCGCUCUCAAACGCCUCCGAAUCCCAUGCUAUCUCCCACCGCAGCUUACAGCCAAGUAAGGAAUGCUCCCAUUGCCAAAUCCGAAAUUGCUGCUCCUGUGUACAGGACAACAACUACAGCUGCUCCUCCAUCUCUGAUUCAAGGUCCUCCUUCUCAGCAUCAGCCUCAGCAACAAUAUGUUGGUUACGCACAGGUUCACCCGUCUCAAUCAACUGUUCCUACUUCAACGGGUGCUGCUAAUUAUGCAUAUGAAUAUGCUGAUGCUUCUCAUGCUCAGCAUGCCCAGAUAUACUAUACUCAGCCCCCCCUGGCACAUGCAAUG